GUCAAAGCCUGUUUCCAGAAAAGCCCAUCAGUAUCUUUUGUCUCUUCCAACUCUUCAGUUUGAGGGGAAUAAGUCAUCGCUAGUCAAUGCCUGAUUCCACAGAUGCAUAUCAGCUGCUCUUACAUGCACCAUGAAGAUACCGAGGAG
RNAcentral lists this long non-coding RNA (147 nucleotides) under Ixodes scapularis (black-legged tick). RNAcentral's name for it is "uncharacterized LOC121835980". The record is from RNAcentral. Lineage: Eukaryota; Metazoa; Arthropoda; Arachnida; Ixodida; Ixodidae.